GGAGGAUAGGUUUUCCGUAGGUGACCUGCGGAAGGACAUUAAUGGAAUAAACCUGGUGGACUGUCGCUGGCUCUUGAGAGCAUGUGCACGUCUGUCAUCUUUAUCUUUCCACCUGUGCACCUUUUGUAGACCUGGAUGCUUAAUAUAUCAAUCUGAGGUCAACUCAGGCGUGAGGACUGUCGGCGUCGCAAGAUAUCGGCUUUCCUUGUAGCAUUCCAGGGACUAUGUUUUUCAUACACACUUUAAAAAUCUAAUAGAAUGUCGUUUUAAAAGGUCUUUGUACCUAUAUAAAACAAAUAUACAACUUUCAGCAACGGAUCUCUUGGCUCUCGCAUCGAUGAAGAACGCAGCGAAAUGCGAUAAGUAAUGUGAAUUGCAGAAUUCAGUGAAUCAUCGAAUCUUUGAACGCAUCUUGCGCUCCUUGGUAUUCCGAGGAGCAUGCCUGUUUGAGUGUCAUUAAAUUCUCAACCUUGUCAGCUUUUACCAGCUGGUCAAGGCUUGGAUGUGGGGGUUUUUGCAGGUCUUCACAGAUCUGCUCCCCUGAAAUACAUUAAUGGUGCCUCUGGAGUGUGAACGGCUAUUUGGUGUGAUAAUCUAUCUACGCCAUUAGACGGGCUACAUCUCUUGGAUGAGAAGGAAGGAUUAAUCUGCUUAUAACCGUCCUUCAGGAAUACAUAUGACUAUUUGACCUCAAAUCAGGUAGGACUACC
Molecule: ribosomal RNA, 710 nt
Filed under: Crepidotus crocophyllus
Lineage: Eukaryota; Fungi; Basidiomycota; Agaricomycetes; Agaricales; Crepidotaceae
Description: eukaryotic LSU rRNA
Rfam family: 5.8S ribosomal RNA (bases 303-456)
Source: RNAcentral